GGGCCUGUAGCUCAGGUGGUUAGAGCGCACGCCUGAUAAGCGUGAGGUCGGAAGUUCAACUCUUCCCAGGCCCA
RNAcentral lists this transfer RNA (74 nucleotides) under Pseudomonadota bacterium. RNAcentral's name for it is "tRNA-Ile". It matches the Rfam family "tRNA". Rfam says of the family: Transfer RNA (tRNA) molecules are approximately 80 nucleotides in length. Their secondary structure includes four short double-helical elements and three loops (D, anti-codon, and T loops). Further hydrogen bonds mediate the characteristic L-shaped molecular structure. tRNAs have two regions of fundamental functional importance: the anti-codon, which is responsible for specific mRNA codon recognition, and the 3' end, to which the tRNAs corresponding amino acid is attached (by aminoacyl-tRNA synthetases). tRNAs cope with the degeneracy of the genetic code in two manners: having more than one tRNA (with a specific anti-codon) for a particular amino acid; and 'wobble' base-pairing, i.e. permitting non-standard base-pairing at the 3rd anti-codon position. The record is from RNAcentral. RNAcentral also lists the same sequence under 4 other names. Lineage: Bacteria; Pseudomonadati; Pseudomonadota.